UCANGGNAGGCAGCAGGCGCGUAAAUUACUCUAUGCCAACGCGGCGAAGUAGUGACGAAAAAUAGGACUGGGUAGCGCUUUGCGUUAUCUUUGUCCAAUGAGAGCAAUGUAAAAGCCUCAUCGAGGAUCCAUUGGAGGGCAAGUCUGGUGCCAGCAGCCGCGGUAAUUCCAGCUCCAAUAGCGUACACUAAAGUUGUUGCAGUUAAAAAGCUCGUAGUCUAAUGUAUGGGAGUUGCGGUGUGGGUGUUUGGUUGGUUUUGCCGACUAGACAAUACUCGCUCCGCUUCCCGCUUGUUUUGUUCUCUUUUAUAAAAGGAAACUGUUUCGCUGGUAAAAAAACUCCCCCCUCAACAAGGUGGUUAUGUUGAUAUGAAUUAUGGGGGGAUGAGAAGAGCUGCUCGGGUAUUUUUUUGUUGGUUUUGGUGGGAUAAUAAUGAUGAGGGGGGACUGUGGGGGGUAUUCUUAUUUACUUGUAAGAGGUGUUAUUGGAGGAUUGAGGAACGACCAACUGCUGAAGCAUCUUCUACCAAUGAUGUCUUUGAUCAUCAACAACAGAUGAGGGAUCGAUCGAUGAUGAUAUACCA
This 584-nucleotide ribosomal RNA is filed under the name Thraustochytriidae sp. ANACC TC_037. Its description in RNAcentral is "partial 18S ribosomal RNA". It matches the Rfam family "Eukaryotic small subunit ribosomal RNA", at positions 416 to 1017 of the family's 1831-position model. Lineage: Eukaryota; Bigyra; Thraustochytrida; Thraustochytriidae. The record is from RNAcentral.